This is a long non-coding RNA of Cottoperca gobio, 3472 nucleotides long. RefSeq lists it as uncharacterized. The record is from RefSeq and is a predicted model, not a curated record. The transcript is spliced from 2 exons. NCBI's taxonomy places the organism in Eukaryota, Metazoa, Chordata, Actinopteri, Perciformes, Bovichtidae.
CUCAGAGGAGAAACUUCACUUUAGCCUUCCAGGCUGCAGAGAGUGUGGGCAUCAAAUGCACUUUGGACUUAAAUGAGAUGGUGCACACAGAGAGGCCGGACUGGCAGAGUGUGAUGACCUAUGUCACUGCGAUAUACAAGUACUUUGAGACCUGACCCCCCCCCCCCCCCCCCCCCCCCCUGCAGCACAAUCGGAGCCACGCCAGCCCUCCUGAGCUCUCAGCAACCUCUCAACUGUUAUACCUCACUGCCCCCCCCCCCCCCUCCCCCCCCACACCACAGAGUCGCGCUGCAUGACGGCCCUCAGUAUUGCGCUGACCCCCCACCACACACAGCUCCUCCAUCCUUCCUGCGCAGCGUAGGCUUCUUGUGUAGCGCUGCAGUGCGAGGGCCACUGUUACAGUAACGCUGCUGAACGUACAAAACAACCAGCGAUGGAACGCCAAACGUCCGCUCUGCCUUCGCUUGACGUCUGAAUGAGCAGCAAGUCUCCGUGCCUUCUCUCCGGCCUCAUUUAGAUUCCUUCAACCUCGUUUCCGGGUGUCGACGGGGAAUUCCUGCAAAUCUGACGUCAGAGGCCUGAAAGUAUAUUCUAAACACUAUUACAGUAUUCCUACGAAGCUGUUUACGUCUCUAAUGACUACAAAUAUUCCCGUCUAUGUGCAGACUGUUGCAACGUAUACAAAGCGUGCUCCUGAAACAAGAGUCUCCUCUGCACGUCCCACAUGUCUCAAAUGGGAAGUGCUUCAUUCCAAAUGAGCCAAACAUCCAUCUGAAUAUUGUGUUCACAUGAUGCAGCCUGGAACACGUCAUGUUCUGAAUGACCCGUUUGCAUGUGAAGUCUUCUUCACAGUCACAAACUAAAGUCAGUGAUGCUGGAAUUCCCCGAAAACCCUGAAGGUUUCCUCGGACAGGAAGUGCGAGCGCCUUUUUGCACCAAGUCUUCCGGACGUCAGGACGCAGACGUGGAUUAUGUGCCUGUGUGAGUUUAAUGCAGGAGAUCAGGACACGAUGUUCGUGUCUUUUCACUACAGUUUGUGAAGCUGAAGAUUUGAGGAGUCGUUGCCAAAUAUGUUUCGGAGCCUUGGAUGACUUGUGAUUGUUCCUCGGCUGCGGGCUGCUGUCCAAGCACAGGACGUGUACGACAUCCCUGCACACGUUGUUAGUCAUGUGCUGCACUCACACUUCCUUCAUCAUCGUGCAGCAUCAUUCCAUUAACCAAAGUGUGAGCGACUAGUUUUUAGUCUUUUGAUAAAAGUGUGUUGUUGACAUUUAACUUCUGUUUGGAUCGGAAACUUAAAGGGAAACUUUGGUAUUCUUCAAACUGGACCUUUAAUUUCCCAUGUUGGAGAUUGUUUUGUGGAAGCACGUCCACUGAAGGCGUUUGUUUCUGCUCCGAGAGGAGCGACAGAGAAUCCGUUCUCUUUGCGUGUCACUCGAUCGGGUGUUUGUCGCGUCCACGUCGUGGAAAGCAGCUAAACAUUCAGCCGGGACGUUACAGUCUUUUACGGGACGUCUUCAGUGCGAGCUGUCGGUGCAGAGACGACCUCAGUGGACGUGUUUUAAAUAAUCUUUUACACACAAACAUGAAAAUAGAACCCAGGUUGAAAGACACCGACGCUGCUCUUCGAGCUUCAUCAGCCUGAAGGUCAAACAGAAUCUCUCACGAUGAACUUCCUGUCGGGGACGUGUGCGCUCGUUCAUACCAGACGCACCUUUCUGAUCGCCGCUGCGUCGGAUCAAAGAGCCUUCACAUCGAUGUGAGGAUGGAUUCCUCGUUCACUCGAGUGAAUCUUCAAUAAGUUGAACUUCUUUAACAGCAGAUGUUGCAAAACCUUUUUUUAUUUUUUGUUGCAGAAAUGAUUCGACAUUUUGCCGUCGACUCGUCUCGUGUUCGUACUGACGCUGUCGGACCAACGCGUACUUUAUAUUCUUUAUUGCACACGUCAGACGUUAAUGUGCGAAACACUUAAAGUCCCACGUUUAGUCUUAAUAAGCAGGAUGCAAACAUUUAAUGGUUUCUAACUGUCAAUGAUAACUUCUCCUAUAAAGACUUAUUCUUAUUAUUAUUAACACUGUUUCACUUCUUUAUCUCUUUAUGCAGAAACCUCCACUUUGUGUCCACAGGAGGAGUUAUUACUUUAAUAAACAUCUAAAUUAUAGUGAAUAGUGAUAAUAAUGAAACUUGUAUAAACUUCUUAUUAAAUGUUUAUACACUGCUUAUAAAUGCUGGUGGGGGUUAAAGUGUCACGUGUGAUGUGCUGCGUGUGCCUCGACAAGUUCUCUAUUUAUUUACAUGGUUUCCAUCGUUUGUGUGUGAAGUCGUCCUCGUCGCAGCUGCACUGAGAUCAGCUGUUUGUAUCUCCCGCCUUAACGUUCAGCCGAGGCGUGCGAGGCGUCAAGCUGCAGGUUCUCUUCGCUCACAGGUGUGUCGCAGUGUGCGAAUGGUUUCCUUAAUAAAACAAUGUCUUCCUCGUUGGUGGUUUGAGGAGCACCGACAGUAACGGUGGCUUCACACGGCUCUGAUUUCAGAGUCUGAUCGUAUCAGAAGCAGAAUCAGAAACUACGAGUCAGAAGGCAUCCUGCCGUCUGCCGAGCCGCGUCACCACGACGUGUGCAGCAGCUUCCCUUCUGUGUGCCGCCGUUAUUUAAAGACAGCGUUGGCGCUCUGUUAAAGGAAGAGUUCACCCACAAAAGGACAAUCUCAAUCCUCCAACGAAGAAUCAAACGGAGAAAAGUCUCGAUGCAUGAAACUAUCUGAGAACGUGUGUUUACAACCUCACUCGGAGUAAUCCUGCAGCUCUGGAAGAAACGCAGAGCGAUGACUUGUGGGUGAACUCUUCCUGGUUUGUUGACGCCAUGAAGCUAAAGGAUGAUCAUCCAACAGUUGGUGGUUAUGUGUUCUGCUUGGUUCCCGUCAGGAGCUCCAGACGGAUUGGAAGUCGCUCCAUCCUGGAGGUGGAAUGUGUUUUGUGUCACGCGUCACGACUUUACGAGGUCCAGCGUGUGCUGAUGGAGAGACGGCCGGAGAAAGCUAGAAGAAGAAGAAGAAGAAGCACAUUCCACCUCCACGCGGUGCAGAGCCGCGACAUGUCUGGGGAAUGUGAACAGAGCUUUGUCGUCAUCACGCUACGUUUAUUUUUCUUUACUUGAAGAUGCUCUGAUGAUUCCACUGAACCUGCUUUAGUUUGUUUCCCAUGAUGCCUUUUGUUUUAUGCCACAUUUAGUUUUCCCCUGAUCACUGUGUGUGUGUGUGUGUGUGUGUGUGUGUGUGUGUGUGUGUGUGUGUGUGUGUGUGUGUGUGUGUGUGUGUGUGUGUGUGUGUGUGUGUGUGUGUGUGUGUGUGUGUGUGUGUGUGUGUGUGUGUGUUGUGUGUGUGAGAGACUAAGCUACAGUAUUAAGUGCACACUACGAUGAUAAUCUGGUUUUAUGUUAUUGUUUUCUGACGAUAGUUAUAAAACCUUUGAAACAAA